This is a long non-coding RNA of Dreissena polymorpha, 1784 nucleotides long. RefSeq lists it as uncharacterized. NCBI's taxonomy places the organism in Eukaryota, Metazoa, Mollusca, Bivalvia, Myida, Dreissenidae. The transcript has 3 exons. The record is from RefSeq and is a predicted model, not a curated record.
UGGGCCCACAUGCAGUGAGGGAUGUUAACUUUUAAUUGGUCGAUAGUAAGUGAGGAAUUUCAUUGAUAAGGUGACAGGAGUAUUUUGAGUGUUCGGCUAAGCGUAUCGUGUACAGCAUUUUGAUACCAGCACUGUGUUUGCAAUUUAGUGAAGGAUUAAAAACCGGCAACGUGUUUAACCAUAAUGCGCCGUGCAAAAAGAGUACAUUUACGGUUUUCGUGAGGAAUAAACGGUUGAGCGAAACGACCGGUCUCUACUGGGAGUCGAUGAUUCCCCGUUCGGAAGUGCAGCAUGCUUAGUCUUAAGGACUCAGGAGCGAUUUCAUUAGCAUUCCUAGUUUCGGAGAAAUAUGGGACUUGAACAUGUUCACAGUGCGUUUUAGAGGAGGAGCACGGUAUCUUGAGACAUCGAUCACAGAAUGCCACAUUCCCCGUGUGUCCCUAGACGAUAGAGGAUUGGAUCAGGUUGAUGUUGCUGUCAGAUGGCGCUUUGUCUUCGGUGCGGUUGGUUGGAGACUUUGAAGACAUGCUGGACAUGGCUGGGUGAACCUUCAUCAAGUAACCCGGUUCUGAAUUUGUGACGCGCGCGGGCCUCUUCCCCUUGCUGGCAUGUGACGCGUCGCCCGAGUGAGUGUUUGCGGAACGCUGGGCCUCCGGUGUGGUUUCCUGGUCUGAUCCGUCCGAUGCGCUGUCGAUGUGCUCUGGUUCCUGUGUGUGCUUGCCCGGCUCAACACAUGACUCGCUCAAUUCGUGGGAAAUUCCGGAUGGAAAUUGGUUGUGGCGCUGCUCUGAGCGCGCCUUGACCCCUGAUUCCUGUGUGACCUGGUGCGCGUCAACGCAUGCUUUUGCCGCUUGUGGGGGUAGGCACGUCGUUAGUUGCUGGAACCGCUGUUCCACAUGUGCCGUCACAUCGGCGUUUCUAGAACCACGGAGCGUGCUAUGCCAAUCUGGGAAAAAGUUAUUUACUGUUUCUCCGCGGAUCAUCAGGGCAGCAGGGAAGACCAGUUUGACGUUUUGAGCACCGUAUUUAUCUCGCGCCGCCUUGAACUCUGGCCACAGUUGCUUACGGGCGUCGCUUAUUUCGCGGGGAUAGUCACGAGAUAUACCAAAAGAUGUUCCACGUAACAGCUUUGCGUUGUCCAUUAUGGCGUUCACAUCACGCAGGUCUGUGAAGGUAACAAGGAUGGCCCUACAACGUGGUGGUCCUUGGGACCGGGCUACAAUGCGCCGGCCUAUCCGACGAGCCUCGACAAUUCCAACUCUUGCAGAGUCCAUAUUUAGUUUGUUGUUGAUGAACUCGCGGAUGAUGCGGAGAGGGUCUUCGUUGCCACCGCUUUCAGACUCGUGAUGGCCGCUAAAUAUCAAGUUAGUUCGAAGAGAACGGGCUUCCAUGUCAAUGCUUUUAUACUCUAGAAGCUUCAGACGGGCCUCCGUAAUGUCGUGAAUUGCUUGUGAGCGGAUAAAGUUUUGGUUCAAGCAUUCAAAUUUAUGAUUGAAUGAGUUAUUUGAAGAGAUCAUAUCAAACAGACAUGUCAGUUUGUGCUCAAUGUUCAUUUCAGAAAACUGUUCGCGUGUUGUUUUUACAUUUUCGUGUACGCUAAAGUCACCUUGGAGUGGGUGGGGUGAGUCCUUCGUGGACGAACUGCUAGUUGCCCGGCGUCUUCGUUUAGUUUCUCUUGUUUGCCAACUGUUUUCGUCACUUAUUGGGGCAUAUUUACCUCUGUACUGGCUUGACAUGGUUUCUGUGUACCUCUUGAGUUUAAAUAAAGUUUGAAGAUGUUAUAA